GAUGAACGCUGGCGGCGUGCCUAAUACAUGCAAGUCGAGCGAACAGAUACGGAGCUUGCUCCUUUGACGUUAGCGGCGGACGGGUGAGUUACACGUGGAUAACCUACCUAUAAGACUGGGAUAACUUCGGGAAACCGGAGCUAAUACCGGAUAACAUAUUGAACCGCAUGGUUCAAUAGUGAAAGGCGGCUUUGCUGUCACUUAUAGAUGGAUCCGCGCCGUAUUAGCUAGUUGGUAAGGUAACGGCUUACCAAGGCAACGAUACGUAGCCGACCUGAGAGGGUGAUCGGCCACACUGGAACUGAGACACGGUCCAGACUCCUACGGGAGGCAGCAGUAGGGAAUCUUCCGCAAUGGGCGAAAGCCUGACGGAGCAACGCCGCGUGAGUGAUGAAGGUCUUCGGAUCGUAAAACUCUGUUAUCAGGGAAGAACAAAUGUGUAAGUAACUGUGCACAUCUUGACGGUACCUGAUCAGAAAGCCACGGCUAACUACGUG
RNAcentral lists this ribosomal RNA (497 nucleotides) under uncultured bacterium. Its description in RNAcentral is "partial 16S ribosomal RNA". It matches the Rfam family "Bacterial small subunit ribosomal RNA", at positions 28 to 507 of the family's 1533-position model. The record is from RNAcentral.